Long non-coding RNA from Cucurbita moschata (crookneck pumpkin), 97 nucleotides. RefSeq lists it as uncharacterized. The record is from RefSeq and is a predicted model, not a curated record. Lineage: Eukaryota; Viridiplantae; Streptophyta; Magnoliopsida; Cucurbitales; Cucurbitaceae. The transcript has 3 exons.
UGCCAUAUGCGAGCCAAUAUAGAAGAGUGCCAUGAUGCAAUCGAGGAGGACGAUGCAUCAUCCAACACACCACCACGCAAAGUGUUUAUAAUAUGAU